UACGGAGGAUUCGAGCGUUAUCCGGAUUUAUUGGGUUUAAAGGGAGCGUAGGCGGGUUGUUAAGUCAGUUGUGAGAGUUUGCGGCUCAACCGUAAAAUUGCAGUUGAUACUGGCAUCCUUGAGUACAGUAGAGGUAGGCGGAAUUCGUGGUGUAGCGGUGAAAUGCUUAGAUAUCACGAAGAACUCCGAUUGCGAAGGCAGCCUGCUGGACUGUAACUGACGCUGAUGCUCGAAAGUGUGGGUAUCAAACAGG
This 253-nucleotide ribosomal RNA is filed under the name uncultured bacterium. Its description in RNAcentral is "partial 16S ribosomal RNA". It matches the Rfam family "Bacterial small subunit ribosomal RNA", at positions 524 to 776 of the family's 1533-position model. The record is from RNAcentral.